RNAcentral lists this long non-coding RNA (886 nucleotides) under Manihot esculenta (cassava). RNAcentral describes it as "long non-coding RNA (MESC_LNC011630)". Lineage: Eukaryota; Viridiplantae; Streptophyta; Magnoliopsida; Malpighiales; Euphorbiaceae. The record is from RNAcentral.
UCAUAGGGUCAAGCACAUCUAUCACCUCAAUAUACCUCGUUACAUAACAUACUGAAAUCUCUUACAUUACAUCAUAAUACAAUUGUCAUGUCCACAAUCUAACUAUUACAUCAACAUACUUCAAUAAACUCUGGCUAACCUUCUAGUCUACCCUGUACCUGCACAUCUGGGGUUAGGGGAGAGGGGUGAGCUAACAAGCCCAGUGAGCAGAAUAGUAGAAAAACAUAUAUUAAGAUUUCAUGCUUUCAUGGAAUGCAACACAUCACAACAAAUCACAUCUCGGAUGGUAUUGUCACCAAUAGUCCUCUACAUAGUCCAACUGUGCCGUGACGUAGAAUGGGUACAACCGGUCUUUCCCUUAACAUAACAUAUCAUACAGUCCAACUGUGCCAGGGACGUAGAAUGGGUACAACCUGGACUUUCUCUUACAUCGUGCCAGGGACGUAGAAUGGGUACAACCUGGACUUCCAUACCAUAUCAUGCCAUAACAUCAUCAUAUCAUAUGAGGACUAAAGGAUCAUCCAAUGACCAAUCCACAUCAACAUCAAUAUCAUAAAUGCAAUGCGACAUAUUCGUGAAUACUAAUGCAAACAACCUACUAUAUCUCAUGGCAUUCAUGAUGCAUGGAUCAUGCUCAAAAUUCAUAUUUCAUUUAUUUUAAAACUUAAGAUUUAUUCCACUCACCUCUGGCUAGCUCUGACAAACUCUGUAGCAGCUAUCUCACUGCUGAGGUCCUCGGUUCCUCGGGUCCGAACCUACACAGGUGGACUCCAAUGAGGGACCAAACAUACAUAAUCAUGACUCUAAUAUACUCCCCAAAAACCCCCUAAAACAUCAUGAAAUCAUCUCGUAAAAACAUGCAAGAAAUGGCUGAACAGGGCACUUU